Long non-coding RNA from Sander lucioperca (pikeperch), 309 nucleotides. RefSeq lists it as uncharacterized. Lineage: Eukaryota; Metazoa; Chordata; Actinopteri; Perciformes; Percidae. The transcript is spliced from 3 exons. The record is from RefSeq and is a predicted model, not a curated record.
GCCUUCUCUUUUCUGCCGUUGUCCUUAUAAAAAAGAUCUGUUAUGUCUUAUUAUGUUUUUCCACCUCCAAGAUGAAUCUCUCGUCGUCCUUGGUGUUUUAAAAGAGACAUAUACGAUAUUGGGGGGUGUGUUGUGGUAAAUUGACUGGAUGCUCUCGCUGUUUCACUUCCUGCCCGGCUGUCCAAACACCCCGUGGCUCACGUGAAAAUAGACCUGGCACGUAUCUUUAGCGGAGCGGAGAGCUGCUUCAUGGGACGCGCCGUGGUGCGGCUGGUGGAUUAUCAAGCCUUAACUUGGAUGGCCGUGAUU